UCCAUCCCUGGCCCGCCUCCCACCCUGUCCCUGGGACGGUGCCUGGGGUAGGCAGCUCCAUUAUCCUCCUUGAUGAAAGAGCUCCCAGCGGCACUGGCCACUCCAGAGCCUCCUCCGCAGAAAGCCCGUUCCAUAGCAGCCACCGUGCAAAGUGCUGUAAGGACUGGGGACCUGUCACAGCACAGCCCUGAAGUUGUAACGGCAAUCUUAUUAUCACCCUGGGAGGGGAAACUGACGGAUGUCACAGCAAACACAUGGCAGACCUGGGACUGGAACCCAGAUGCUACCAGGGUCCCUGAAGAGGCAAGAUAUGAGGAAACAGAUGCUGCCAGGGUCCCUGAAGAGGGAAGACACGCGGAAAGAGAAUACUUGGCUUUCUCUGACUCAAGUAAAUGGAAUAUUGAUCACCCUGAAACCCUCUACGCCUGGGAGGGGGCCUGCGUCUGGGUCCCCUGCACCUACAGAGUCCUAGAUGGUGCCCUGGAAAGCUUCAUCCUGUUCCACAAUCCUGAGUAUAACAAGAACAUCUCGAAGUUCGAAGGGACCAGACUCUAUGAAAGCACAAAGGAUGGGAAGGUUCCUUCAGGGCAGAAAAGGGUGCAAUUCCUGGGGGACAAGAAUAACAACAACUGCACACUGAGUAUCCACCCGGUGCACGUCAAUGACAGUGGUCAGCUGGGGCUGAGGAUGGAGUCCAAGACUGAGAAAUGGAUGGAAAAAAUACACCUCAAUGUCUCUGAAAGACCUUUUCCACCUCAUAUCCAGCUCCCUCCAAAACUUCAAGAAUCCCAGGAAGUCAUUCUGACCUGCUCGCUGAAUUUCUCCUGCUAUGGGUAUCAGAUCAAAUUGCAGUGGUUACUAGAGAGGGUUCCAAUGAGGCAGACUGCUGUCACCUCGACCUCCUUGAGCACCAAGUCUGUCUUCACCCAGAGUGAGCUCAAGUUCUCGCCACAGUGGAGUCACCAUGGGAAGAUCGUGACCUGCGAGCUUCACGAUGUGGACGGGAAGGUCCUCUCCGAAGACACGGUGCAGCUGAACGUGAAGCACACCCCAAAGUUGGAGAUCGAGGUCAUUCCCAGUGAAGCCAUAGUGAGGGAGGGGGACUCUGUGACCAUGAUCUGCAAGGUCAACAGCAGCAACCCGGAGUACACGACGGUAUCCUGGCUCAAGGAUGGCACCCCGCUGAAGGAGCAGAAUACACUCACGCUAACCCUGCACGAAGUGACCAAGUCCCAGAGUGGGAGGUACUGCUGUAGGGUCUCCAAUGACGUGGGCCCGGGAACGUCGGAAAAAGUGUUCCUGCAAGUGCAGUAUACCCCGGAACCUUCCAGGGUUCAGAUUGUCCAGUCACCAGCUGUGGAGGGAAAUGAAGUCAAGUUUAUUUGCACGUCACCGGCCAAUCCUCUUCCAACAAAUUACACGUGGUACCACAAUGGGAAAGAAGUGCAGGGAAGGACAGAGAAGGAAUUCCAGAUCCCAAAGAUCCUCCCCUGGCACGCUGGGACUUACUCUUGUGUGGCAGAAAACAUUCUUGGUAUUGGACAGAGGGGCCCAGGAGCUGAGCUGGAUGUCCAGUAUCCUCCCAAGAAGGUGACCAUGGUAAUUGAAAACCCCACACCGAUUCGAGAAGGAGACACGGUGACCCUUUCCUGUAACUACAAUUCCAGUAACCCCACUGUUAACCACUAUGAAUGGAAACCCCGCGGCGCCUGGGAGGAGCCAUUGCUUGGGGUGCUGAAGAUCCAGAACGUUGGCUGGAACAACACAGCCAUCGCCUGCGCAGCUUGUAACAACUGGUGCUCGUGGGCCUCCCCUGUCACUCUGAAUGUCCUGUAUGCCCCCCGAGGUGUGAGGGUCCGGAAAAUCAAGCCCUUUUCUGAGAUUCACUCUGGGAACUCGGUCAGCCUCCAAUGUGACUUCUCAAGCAGCCACCCCAAAGAAGUCCAGUUCUUCUGGGAGAAAAAUGGCAGCCUUCUGGGGAAAGAAAGACAGCUGAAUUUUGACUCCAUCUCCCCAGAAGAUGCUGGGAGUUACAGCUGCUGGGUGAACAACUCCAUAGGACAGACGGAGUCCAAGGCCUGGACACUUGAAGUGCUGUAUGCACCCAGGAGGCUGCGUGUGUCCAUGAGCCAGGGGAACCAAGUGAUGGAGGGGAAGACGGCAACCCUGACCUGUGAGAGUGACGCCAACCCUCCCAUCUCCAGCUACACCUGGUUUGACUGGAAUAACCAAAGCCUUCCCUCCUCUGGCCGGAUGCUGAGAUUGGAGCCAGUGAAGGUCCAGCACUCUGGUGCUUACUGGUGCCAGGGAACCAACAGAGUGGGCAAGGGCCACUCGCCUCUCUUCACCCUCACCGUCUACUCCCGGAGACCAUUGGCAGGCGAGUGGCUGUGGGACUCGGGUCCUGCCUGGCCAUCCUCAUCCUGGCAAUGUGUGGAUUCAAGGUCCAGCGACGUUGGAAGAGGACACAGAGCCAGCAGGGGCUUCAGGAGAAUUCCAGUGGCCAGAGCUUCUUUGUGAGGAAUAAAAAGGUUAGAAGGACCCCCCUCUCUGAAGGUCCCCACUCCCUGGGAUGCUACAAUCCGAUGAUGGAAGAUGGCAUUAGCUACGCCACCCUGCGCUUUCCCGAGACGAACACACCACGAACUGGAAAUGCAGAGACCUCAGAGAUGCAGAGACCUCCCCCAGACUGCGAUGACACAGUCACUUAUUCAGUGUUGCAGAAGCGUCAGGUGGGCGACUAUGAGAACGUCAUUCCAGAUUUUCCAGAAGAUGAGGGGAUUCAUUACUCAGAGCUGAUUCAGUUUGGGUUUGGGGAGCGGCCUCAGGCACAAGAAAAUGUGGACUAUGUGAUCCUCAAGCACUGACGCCGGAUGGGCUGCGGCAGAGGCGCUGGAGGCAGCAGGGGCCCGGGAAGUCCCAGAGCUUCCCCAGACACCACCACACGGCUUCCUCCUCCGCGCAUGCGUACACACACACACACACACACACACACACACACACACACACACACCACACACAUGCUCACUGCGGAGAACCUUGUGCCUGGCUCAGAGCCAGUCUUUUCGGUGAGGGUAACCCCAAUGCUCCAAAACUCCUGUCCUUGUUCUUUUCCACUCUCCUUGCUACCCAGAAACCCAUCUAAACACCUGCACUGACAUGCACACCUCCCCCUGCCCCCACCAUGGCCACUGGCCACCCCCACCCCCAGCUGCUUGUGUCCCUCCUGGGAUCUGCUUGUCAUCAUUUUUCCUUCCCUUCUACAUCUCUCUGGCCCCCUACCUCUGAUCUGACAUCCCCAGUCACAAAUAUUACUCCCAGUUUCUGCCUCUGGGGAAGAGCCCAGAAAAGGACAGAAAUGAAGUAGGAAAGGGCCCAGUCCUGGCCUGGCUUCUCCUCUGGAAGUGAGGCAUUGCACAGGGAGGCGUACAUAACAGCAGCCCCUUGACUCCAGGGACUCCAGGUUUGAGAUGGACGCACUGUUGUGGAUUAACAUGCCAUGGAGACAGAGCUCACAAUAAAAAUGGCUCAGAUGCCACUUCAAAGAA
Molecule: RNA transcript, 3548 nt
Organism: Rhinopithecus roxellana (golden snub-nosed monkey)
Lineage: Eukaryota; Metazoa; Chordata; Mammalia; Primates; Cercopithecidae
Gene: CD22
Gene name: CD22 molecule
Exons: 16
Source: RefSeq, a predicted model, not a curated record